UAAAUAGGAAGCUGUGAGUUCCUACAAGCCCACUGAGAAACAAGAUUCUGCGUCAUCUUAUAUGCAGGGCAGGCUUCGUGAGCAUGUGACUUAAGCAGUCCUGCAGUACCCUGUGUGGAGUUGGGCCCAUCUCUGCUUUGAAUUCUCAAUCAUUUUCAACUAGGAGCCAAAAUUUUUAUUUUGUACUGGGCCAUAGGAAUUAUGUAGCUGGUCUUGUUUGUGUAUAUUACUUCACCUAUAGAAUCUAUUCCUUUUUAUUCUCAUUGAAUGGGAAACCAUUUUUCCAGUGACCCAUGUGCAUAUGUAAUUGGUAAUUGUAAUUUGAAGAAAGGGAGAACAGUAAAAGAAAGAACAGGAAAACAGUAAUGUUGUAAGAAAGGAAUACAUUCUCAAAAUGAGAAAAUAAUAUUUCCUUGUAAAAAAGUGAGGUUUUUUGUGUGUGUGAUCUAAGGAUGAUGAUCCAUAAAAAUUGUAAGCUAAUGAUUGAGACCUUGGUAUUUAUCCUCAAAUUUCCUGGCUUAUUCAGGGCUGGGGACUCUGUUGAAAGCCUCUGUGAGGGCCAUCAGGAAGGGAGCAGUUCCUUGCUUGGAGAAUGUGCUGACAACUCUGCCUUUGUGUGAGAACUCAGUGGCCAUGCAGACAGCAACUGACCACUACAGCGAGCAGAUGGCCUAGCAUCUGAGGCUCCCCACAGACACGCUCCAGGAACUGCUGGAUGUUCAUGCAGACUGUGAGAGGGAAGCCAUUGAAGUGUUCAUGGAGCACUCCUUCAAGAAUGGCAAGUGGGAAUUCCAGAAAAAACUGAUGGCAAAUGAAGUUCUCCAGCACUUCUUACAGAACCAGCUGGCAGUAGUGAACUCCAUUCUACAGGGAGACUAUGGCCUCAUCUAUCAGGAGAAGGCCCUAUCAGGUACAGGUGUGGGGUUGAGCAUAUAGCAGAGUGGGUAGGUUGCUGCAUUACCUUCAGACAGAGAUGAGGGCCAAACCUCCCUGAAACAAAGAGCUUCUUCUCUUUCUGUGGAACAGCACUGCUAAAUAUAACCAUCAGAGUUGUCUUUUUAAAUCUGGCAGACAAGGAAGGCCAUCUCAAUCACAUCCAGAAAUGUGCUCUUGGGGAUCCACAUAAUUCAGAGGUUUCUCAGCUACCUUUUCAAAGUCAGUUUCAUAUCUGUGCUGAGGAGGCUAGAAUCAAACAUGAGUGUUGUUUUCUUCUUCUCUAAAACAUUUGUGGAACAGCUGAGUGGACUUUGAAGGAGGCAGCUGAGAAGCCACAGGUGCUGCUAAGACAGAAAUACAAGGAGCAACAGUAAAAACUGGAGGCUGAAGAGAGAAGCUGUAGAGAAAGCGCAGCCCAGUUAACUGAGACGUUGGAGAAGGAAAUGUUGAGGCACAAGCUGAAGAUAAGCCUGCACCAGAGCCUAGGCAGUGCCUAAUGGACAGUGCCCUGGUUCCUCAGAAAAAAGAGGGCCCAAACUAAUAAAAAUCAAGAUCCCAGGGAGAAUCA
This 1504-nucleotide long non-coding RNA is filed under the name Vulpes vulpes (red fox). RNAcentral describes it as "lncRNA (ENSVVUG00000030201.1)". Lineage: Eukaryota; Metazoa; Chordata; Mammalia; Carnivora; Canidae. The record is from RNAcentral.